CCUACGGGUGGCAGCAGUGGGGGAUAUUGCACAAUGGGGGAAACCCUGAUGCAGCGACGCCGCGUGUGGGAAGACGGUCCUCUGGAUUGUCAACCACUGUCCCCAGGGACGAAGCUGACGGUACCUGGGGAGGCCGCUCCGGCUACCUACAUGCCAGCAGCCGCGGUACUACGUAGGGAGCAAGCGUUGUCCGGAAUUACUGGGUGUAAAGGGAGCGUAGGCGGGAUGGCAAGUUGGGUGGUAAAUCUACCGGCUCAACUGGUAGUCGCACUCAAAACUGCUAUUCUUGAGUGAAGUAGAGGCAGGCGGAAUUCCUAGUGUAGCGGUGAAAUGCGUAGAUAUUAGGAGGAACACCAGUGGCGAAGGCGGCCUGCUGGGCUUUGACUGACGCUGAGGCUCGAAAGUGUGGGGAGCAAACAGGAGUAGAUACCCUUGUAGUC
RNAcentral lists this ribosomal RNA (440 nucleotides) under uncultured bacterium. RNAcentral describes it as "partial 16S ribosomal RNA". It matches the Rfam family "Bacterial small subunit ribosomal RNA", at positions 338 to 795 of the family's 1533-position model. The record is from RNAcentral.